Molecule: ribosomal RNA, 154 nt
Filed under: Stegodyphus mimosarum
Lineage: Eukaryota; Metazoa; Arthropoda; Arachnida; Araneae; Eresidae
Description: 5.8S ribosomal RNA
Rfam family: 5.8S ribosomal RNA
About the family: 5.8S ribosomal RNA (5.8S rRNA) is a component of the large subunit of the eukaryotic ribosome. It is transcribed by RNA polymerase I as part of the 45S precursor that also contains 18S and 28S rRNA. Functionally, it is thought that 5.8S rRNA may be involved in ribosome translocation.
Source: Rfam by way of RNAcentral
AACUCUGAGCAGUGGAUCACUUGGCUCACGGGUUGAUGAAGAACGCAGCCAGCUAUGAGACUUGGUGUGAGUUGCAGGACACAUUGAGCACUGAUUUUUCGAAUGCGCAUUGAGGUCUCGGGUGGCACCCGGGACCUCGCCUGUCUGGCGGUCG